AUCGUCUGUGCUCUGCCCUGCACCGUGUCCAUGGUGGCCCUGAAGUUCAUGCCAGAGAGCCCAAGGUUUCUGCUAGAGAUGGGCAAACAUGAUGAAGCCUGGAUGAUUCUCAAGCAAGUCCAUGACACCAACAUGAGAGCUAAGGGGACCCCAGAGAAAGUGUUCACGGUUUCCAACAUCAAAACUCCCAAGCAAAUGGAUGAAUUCAUUGAGAUCCAAAGUUCAACAGGAACCUGGUACCAGCGCUGGCUGGUCAGAUUCAAGACCAUUUUCAAGCAGGUAUGAUUGGGAACUUACUUUGGAUGAGAAUGUGUCUCUAUGGGAGUCUCUUACCUUAGUGGAUGAAAAACGCAGCUCCUGAACAUCCCCACCAACCUGGGCCAGCGUGAUGGAGAGGAAGCAACCCUGGAGGGGGGCGUUUGGGCUCCAGCCCACGUCUGCCUCUAGCUUGCUGUGUGCCCUGGAGCUGAAAACUCUCUAAAUCUUAGUUUCUUUUCUUUGUUCUUCCUUCCCAAGGCAGGGAUUUUGAAUGUAG
RNAcentral lists this small RNA (535 nucleotides) under Pan troglodytes (chimpanzee). RNAcentral describes it as "retained intron". The record is from RNAcentral. Lineage: Eukaryota; Metazoa; Chordata; Mammalia; Primates; Hominidae.